This 3349-nucleotide long non-coding RNA is filed under the name Sitophilus oryzae (rice weevil). RNAcentral's name for it is "uncharacterized LOC115885441, transcript variant X2". The record is from RNAcentral. Lineage: Eukaryota; Metazoa; Arthropoda; Insecta; Coleoptera; Curculionidae.
UUUUACAUUAUAGUGAGAAUUAAAGUAUUAGUAAUUUAUUUUUGUUACUAAAAUUAAAUUCAGUUUGUUCCUGCAUAAAUCUUUUUAGUACUAAACUGCUUUGGAAUGAAUUUUUCUGGGGAACAACAGCAGGAUUAGAGCCAUCCUCUAGAUGCCAUCAGGUAGGUGCGCUAGCGUAGUCGUUUGUUGUAGCAUUAUAUCCCUUUUCCCCCUUUUUAAAAAAUGUUUGUAAGACGCCUGAAAUUUGUAUAAGUUAGUUAUAUAAGUAGUUGAAUAAGAAUUGGUGAGACAUGGAAAAUAGAAGAGGACAGAGAAGAUGGAAGAGGAUUGCUUUGAAAUAGAAGGAAAGGAGAUAGAUGUUUGAGGAAAGGAGGAGGACUUUGUUCGCUGUAACGGAAGUUUUUUGAAUGAAAUUUGGAGCAACUGUAUUAAGAUGUUAUUGGUAUCUUGGACGUCAAGUUUCAUUUAUUUAUGUAUUAUACAAGCAUAUCUAUUGGGGUAAAUGUAGAAUGGCAGCUGUUAUAACAACUUGGAUGAAUUAUUAGAAACACCAAAGAAGUUUUGACAUAAUUUAAACUGGGAAAAGGCUCACAGAUGACCAAUUUAUUCUACAGUAGAUACAGGACAUUAAAUUGACUUCAGCAACGCAGAUAUCUCUCAAAAAUGAUAUCUGUUCGAAUGAUGUACUGGGCGUUAACAGUUGCUGUUACAAAUCUGCAAAUGAGUUACUACUGUACAUAAGUUGGAGGAAUGCCAAGGAAUUUUUUGAAUAAAAUGAUACUGAAAAUCUUACCCACCCAUGACAAUUUUAAGAUACAAUCAAUAGUAUUUGGAUUGAUUGGCCUUCAUUACUGUUGCGCUGUGAAAAUGUAAGCAAUACAAAUUGGUAUUAAUGGACGUUUUGACAGCUGUUUCCAGUCCAAGUUCCAGUUUUAAUGGAAAAUCUUUAAUGGACACAGAAAAAUGCCAUUUACUGGAUUGACUUCAACACCUGUUGCUUUUUAAUAAUGGUAAACAAUGGGACAAUUGCUGUUAGAAGUCAACAAGUAGUACUAAUUGCAAAUAAUAUAUUAUGGCGGACAUCAAAAAGCUUUAAAUGGAAUGAAACUUGCAGAAGAAGACUCAGAAAGUCCAUUUAGAACUGUACUUAAUAGCGGUUAGAGUGGAUGCAGUCCUUCAUCAAUGAGAGCUGAAGAAAUUGAUGGUAAAGGACAUUUUGACAGCUACUGUUACAACUCAACGAACAAGUUGCAGCUUUGAAGGAAAAUAUUUGAUUGGAUACAGAACAAUGUCAGUCAUUUCAGGAUGUAAAGUUAAUAGAACCAGGGUUGGGCUCGACAUCUCUUACCUUUUAAUAAUGGCAUACGAUAGGACAAUUGCUAUUAGAAACCGAUAAGACAUACUAGCUGCAAAUAAUAUGUAUGGUGGUCAUAAAAGAGAUUUAAAUGAAAUGAGAGAGAGAAACUCUUGUGCAGAAGAAAUCAAGGAAAACCAUUUUGAACUGCUGUUACUUAAUAGAUUGUUAAUAGCUGUUAGAGGGGGUCCAGUUCUUCAUCAAUGGUUUACGCUGGGACAAUUGCUGUUGGAAAUCCACAAGCCGUACUAUCUGCAAAUAUUAUGGUGGACAUAAAAAAUGUUUAAAAUGGAAUGAAACUUACAGGAAAAGACUCAGAAAGACCAUUUAGGACUGUACUUAAUAGCUGUUGAAAAGUGGUCGCAGUCCUUUAUCAAUGAUAUCUCUGCAUUUUCUUAACAAUGGAUAUCAGCAGUUGCUCCUACUCCUCACUUUCCUCUUUCACUCAUCACAAAAACUCAAUACUCCUCAAUGCCUCACCAAGGUUCGUUAGCUUCAUUAAUAGUGUUAUUGUUUCAAUAAAUUUGUUUAGUGGUUUUUAUCCUCUUACUAUAUAAUUAUCUCUGGCGUCAUUUUAAUGUUAAUUUUUUGUAAAAUUUUGAUAAUCUGGAUAGAAACCUUUUUUUUUCUUAAGCUUUUGCAAUGUAAAACACUAGUUCAGAGCAAUACACUUUAUUUUAUGAAUAGGACCAUUAGGCCUGAUGAAUAAAGAGAAGCAAUUGCUUUUUCUAUAGAGCUAUAGAACUUUUUCAAUCUCGCCUAUCUUAUAUUUACUUCCAUUAGUUCAGUCAUUAAAUUAUUAUUAAAUAACUAUAAUUUGUAUUCUGGAUUUCGUCAAAGGUAUUUUUUAAAAGAAUUAAAAAGCAAUCUAUAGGCUACAGUAUCAUUUCCAAUUUAUUUUUAUCUUGUAUUAUUUAUAUUUUCCUAAGCUUCUCUAAGUUUAUUCCAGAUUAUCAAAAUUAUAAUUUUUAUACUUGCGCAGCUGCGUCACUAUUAUAGCCCUAUGAACACAAGUAUUAUUUUGGUUUUAAAGUUUAUGUUUUUUAAUAUUUCAUUUAUUGUAUUAACGCAAAACUAAAUUUUAUAGAAUUUAACUAACUAUAUCUUCAACCGGAUGAUAAUUUAAUGGUUAAUGGUCAAUUUAAUAUUUUUUCAUAAAAAUUAAAUGUGAUUAUUGAAUACUAAUGUCAAGACAGUAGAUAUGAUUUAUUAGUGUUUAUUUUUUCGGAAAUAUUUUUUUUUACUAAAUCAAUUUUGGACACUUGUGUUCAUAUAGUUUUUUUUUGCUUUUGAUAAUUAAUAUUGGUACCCUAACACCGAUGUUUUAAAUCAAUUUAUAUGAUUUAAAAACAUUUAUGUUUAUAUCUAUUUUGUCUUAAAUUUUAGUGAUAAAGUUUGUUUUUUGAGCACAAAGAGCAAUGCACUUCAUGCAUUGCUUUCUUUUUUAUGUGCAGAAUCAUCUUUAUAUACAGUCUGUCCUCAGAACGUCUUUACAAGAGCAAAAACUUUUUUUAUUAAUAUUUUCAUAAAAGAUACAUUCCUUAUAAAAAUAUUUUUCUUUUUAAUAUUUUCAUUUCAAUUUUUUUAACAAAUAUAUUGUGAGCACACAUUUUGAAAUUAUUUUUCGUAGAUAUACUGUGCGAUUCAAGUAUAUUUAUACUAAAAUUGUGUUUUUUUAAAUGCAAUGUUUUUUUAUGUAUGUACUAGUUAGUAUACCACUGUAAUCCAAUCAAAAUUGCAUAAAUUAAUUAUUUUAGAAGAGUUCAAUUGAAAAUAAAUACAUGAAUUUUAACCUUAAGUAUUACUGGUUGCCUAAUCGAUUCUUAUGUAAUGUUGUGGUAAUGUUCUUAUUAUUUAAAAAAGUCUUAUUUCCAGUAGUAUUUUUUCUCUCAAUUUUAGUAUUUAAAAUGUCUCUAUCUUGUCAUAUUUAUUUAACAUAUCUAUUAGACCUCUACUCAAACUUUAUCUCCUAAAAUUUAUGAAUUUUACAUAUGA